UCAGUGACUCCGCCUUCGAUACCUUACCCCCGCUUCCUGUCGACUUUGAUGAGACAGCACCGUAACUUCGGGAGAAGGUGUGCCCUCAUUAGGUGAAGAGACUUGCUCUCGGAGCCGAAGGGGGUUGCAGUGACCAGGUGGCUGCGACUGUUUAUUAAAAACAUAGCACUCUGCAAACGCGAAAGCGGACGUAUAGGGUGUGACGCCUGCCCGGUGCCGGAAGGUUAAUUGAUGGGGUUAGCGCAAGCGAAGCUCUUGAUCGAAGCCCCGGUAAACGGCGGCCGUAACUAUAACGGUCCUAAGGUAGCGAAAUUCCUUGUCGGGUAAGUUCCGACCUGCACGAAUGGCGUAACGAUGGCCACACUGUCUCCACCAGAGACUCAGUGAAAUUGAAAUUGCGGUUAAGAUGCCGUAUACCCGCGGCUAGACGGAAAGACCCCGUGAACCUUUACUACAGCUUUGCACUGAACUUUGAGCCUGCUUGUGUAGGAUAGGUGGGAGGCUUUGAAACCGUGACGCCAGUUGCGGUGGAGCCAUCCUUGAAAUACCACCCUGGCAUGUUUGAGGUUCUAACCCAGGUCCGUUAUCCGGAUCGGGGACAGUGUAUGGUGGGUAGUUUGACUGGGGCGGUCUCCUCCCAAAGAGUAACGGAGGAGCACGAAGGUACCCUAAGCAUGGUCGGACAUCAUGCGGUUAGUGCAAUGGCAUAAGGGUGCUUAACUGCGAGACAGACACGUCGAGCAGGUGCGAAAGCAGGUCAUAGUGAUCCGGUGGUUCUGUAUGGAAGGGCCAUCGCUCAACGGAUAAAAGGUACUCCGGGGAUAACAGGCUGAUACCGCCCAAGAGUUCAUAUCGACGGCGGUGUUUGGCACCUCGAUGUCGGCUCAUCACAUCCUGGGGCUGUAGCCGGUCCCAAGGGUAUGGCUGUUCGCCAUUUAAAGUGGUACGCGAGCUGGGUUUAGAACGUCGUGAGACAGUUCGGUCCCUAUCUGCCGUGGGCGUUUGAGAAUUGAGAGGAGCUGCUCCUAGUACGAGAGGACCGGAGUGGACGUACCUCUGGUGUUCCGGUUGUCAUGCCAAUGGCACUGCCGGGUAGCUAUGUACGGACGGGAUAACCGCUGAAAGCAUCUAAGCGGGAAGCCCCCCUCGAGAUAAGUUCUCACUGGGACCUUGAGUCCCCUGAAGGGUCGUCGAAGACUACGACGUUGAUAGGCUGGGUGUGGAAGUGCAGCAAUGUAUGAAGCUAACCAGUACUAAUUGCCCGUGAGGCUUGACCAU
Molecule: ribosomal RNA, 1278 nt
Filed under: sediment metagenome
Description: bacterial LSU rRNA
Rfam family: Bacterial large subunit ribosomal RNA
Source: RNAcentral